Molecule: long non-coding RNA, 199 nt
Filed under: Manacus vitellinus (golden-collared manakin)
Lineage: Eukaryota; Metazoa; Chordata; Aves; Passeriformes; Pipridae
Description: lncRNA (ENSMVIG00005004415.1)
Source: RNAcentral
AACACACUGUGCCCUUCUAGCUGUGGUCUGUUAGUGGGGGACAGGACUUAACAUUCAGCUUCUGCAGUUGCUGUAUCCAAUGAAGAGACUUUCCCUGCAUAGAAGUCAUCAGCACAGACUAAUGCAAAAGGGACUAUUUGAGGUUUAAAAAGAUCAAGUCUUUCUCAAGUAAGACCAUGGCAUAAGCAAACCAGCACAC